GAUGAACGCUGGCGGCGUGCUUAACACAUGCAAGUCGAACGGAAAGGCCCAAGCUUGCUUGGGUACUCGAGUGGCGAACGGGUGAGUAACACGUGGGUGAUCUGCCCUGCACUUCGGGAUAAGCCUGGGAAACUGGGUCUAAUACCGGAUAGGACGAUGGUUUGGAUGCCAUUGUGGAAAGUUUUUUCGGUGUGGGAUGAGCUCGCGGCCUAUCAGCUUGUUGGUGGGGUAAUGGCCUACCAAGGCGUCGACGGGUAGCCGGCCUGAGAGGGUGUACGGCCACAUUGGGACUGGGAUACGGCCCAGACUACUACGGGAGGCAGCAGUGGGGAAUAUUGCACAAUGGGCGCAAGCCUGAUGCAGCGACGCCGCGUGGGGGAUGACGGCCUUCGGGUUGUAAACUCCUUUCGCUAGGGACGAAGCGUUUUUGUGACGGUACCUGGAGAAGAAGCACCGGCUAACUACGUG
RNAcentral lists this ribosomal RNA (468 nucleotides) under uncultured bacterium. RNAcentral's name for it is "partial 16S ribosomal RNA". It matches the Rfam family "Bacterial small subunit ribosomal RNA", at positions 28 to 507 of the family's 1533-position model. The record is from RNAcentral.